AGAGUUUGAUCAUGGCUCAGGAUGAACGCUAGCUACAGGCUUAACACAUGCAAGUCGAGGGGAAACGGACAUCGAAAGCUUGCUUUUGAUGGGCGUCGACCGGCGCACGGGUGAGUAACGCGUAUCCAACCUGCCCACCACUUGGGGAGUAACCUUGCGAAAGUAAGACUAAUACCCAAUGACGUCUCUAGAAGACAUCUGAAGGAGAUUAAAGAUUUAUCGGUGAUGGAUGGGGAUGCGUCUGAUUAGCUUGUUGGCGGGGUAACGGCCCACCAAGGCGACGAUCAGUAGGGGUUCUGAGAGGAAGGUCCCCCACAUUGGAACUGGGACACGGUCCAAACUCCUACGGGAGGCA
RNAcentral lists this ribosomal RNA (355 nucleotides) under uncultured bacterium. Its description in RNAcentral is "bacterial SSU rRNA". It matches the Rfam family "Bacterial small subunit ribosomal RNA", at positions 8 to 350 of the family's 1533-position model. The record is from RNAcentral.